UCUUAGUGAUCCGGUGGUUCUGUAUGGAAGGGCCAUCGCUCAACGGAUAAAAGGUACUCCGGGGAUAACAGGCUGAUACCGCCCAAGAGUUCAUAUCGACGGCGGUGUUUGGCACCUCGAUGUCGGCUCAUCACAUCCUGGGGCUGUAGUCGGUCCCAAGGGUAUGGCUGUUCGCCAUUUAAAGUGGUACGCGAGCUGGGUUCAGAACGUCGUGAGACAGUUCGNUCCCUAUCUGCCAUGGGCGUUGGAGAUUUGAGAGGGGCUGCUCCUAGUACGAGAGGACCGGAGUGGACGAACCUCUGGUGUUCCGGUUGUCACGCCAGUGGCACUGCCGGGUAGCUAUGUUCGGAAGCGAUAACCGCUGAAAGCAUCUAAGCGGGAAGCGCGCCUCAAGAUGAGAUCUCCCGGGAGCUUGACUCCCCUAAAGGAACCAUCAAGACCAGGUGGUUGAUAGGCAGGGUGUGUAAGCGCAGCAAUGCGUUGAGCUAACCUGUACUAAUGAUCCGUGUGGCUUGACCAU
Molecule: ribosomal RNA, 520 nt
Filed under: Lysobacteraceae bacterium JGI 0001002-D18
Lineage: Bacteria; Pseudomonadati; Pseudomonadota; Gammaproteobacteria; Lysobacterales; Lysobacteraceae
Description: bacterial LSU rRNA
Rfam family: Bacterial large subunit ribosomal RNA
Source: RNAcentral